RNAcentral lists this ribosomal RNA (1087 nucleotides) under Klebsiella sp. NCCP-620. RNAcentral describes it as "bacterial SSU rRNA". It matches the Rfam family "Bacterial small subunit ribosomal RNA", at positions 75 to 1157 of the family's 1533-position model. The record is from RNAcentral. Lineage: Bacteria; Pseudomonadati; Pseudomonadota; Gammaproteobacteria; Enterobacterales; Enterobacteriaceae.
AGAGCUUGCUCUCGGGUGACGAGCGGCGGACGGGUGAGUAAUGUCUGGGAAACUGCCUGAUGGAGGGGGAUAACUACUGGAAACGGUAGCUAAUACCGCAUAAUGUCGCAAGACCAAAGUGGGGGACCUUCGGGCCUCAUGCCAUCAGAUGUGCCCAGAUGGGAUUAGCUAGUAGGUGGGGUAACGGCUCACCUAGGCGACGAUCCCUAGCUGGUCUGAGAGGAUGACCAGCCACACUGGAACUGAGACACGGUCCAGACUCCUACGGGAGGCAGCAGUGGGGAAUAUUGCACAAUGGGCGCAAGCCUGAUGCAGCCAUGCCGCGUGUAUGAAGAAGGCCUUCGGGUUGUAAAGUACUUUCAGCGGGGAGGAAGGCGAUAAGGUUAAUAACCUUGUCGAUUGACGUUACCCGCAGAAGAAGCACCGGCUAACUCCGUGCCAGCAGCCGCGGUAAUACGGAGGGUGCAAGCGUUAAUCGGAAUUACUGGGCGUAAAGCGCACGCAGGCGGUCUGUCAAGUCGGAUGUGAAAUCCCCGGGCUCAACCUGGGAACUGCAUUCGAAACUGGCAGGCUAGAGUCUUGUAGAGGGGGGUAGAAUUCCAGGUGUAGCGGUGAAAUGCGUAGAGAUCUGGAGGAAUACCGGUGGCGAAGGCGGCCCCCUGGACAAAGACUGACGCUCAGGUGCGAAAGCGUGGGGAGCAAACAGGAUUAGAUACCCUGGUAGUCCACGCCGUAAACGAUGUCGAUUUGGAGGUUGUGCCCUUGAGGCGUGGCUUCCGGAGCUAACGCGUUAAAUCGACCGCCUGGGGAGUACGGCCGCAAGGUUAAAACUCAAAUGAAUUGACGGGGGCCCGCACAAGCGGUGGAGCAUGUGGUUUAAUUCGAUGCAACGCGAAGAACCUUACCUGGUCUUGACAUCCACAGAACUUAGCAGAGAUGCUUUGGUGCCUUCGGGAACUGUGAGACAGGUGCUGCAUGGCUGUCGUCAGCUCGUGUUGUGAAAUGUUGGGUUAAGUCCCGCAACGAGCGCAACCCUUAUCCUUUGUUGCCAGCGGUUCGGCCGGGAACUCAAAGGAGACUGCCAUGA